Molecule: long non-coding RNA, 723 nt
Filed under: Equus caballus (horse)
Lineage: Eukaryota; Metazoa; Chordata; Mammalia; Perissodactyla; Equidae
Description: lncRNA (ENSECAG00000044499.1)
Source: RNAcentral
CCAGGCUCCAAGCACCUGAAGUUCUUCUGAGUCAGAGAAGCAACUGCAUUCAUUACAGCUAAUGAAGUUUGCAAAAGGAGGUCAGAGGAGGGCUGUGCCAACAACUGUCCCCAGAGCUCAACAUCAUUUCAUCAUGCUGGUCCUUACCCACAGCUGAGAUCUGCUCAUCCGGCCUCGGCAAAAGACAAUGCAUUUGAGUUCGUGGAGAACAUUCUUGCUAUUGUAUAUUCGGUACAUAUCUACAUGGAUGCGGCCAUCGUCCAAACUCUAGUGAUUCUCACUGCUGGUUUUAAAAUCACUUGGAAGAAGACAUUUAGAAAACAUCAAAGUAUCAUCUGCCAUCAAAAAAGGGUCUGUUACUGAGCUCAGCUUUGGAGAUGGUGUGAGAGAUACAACAAACAACCAUUUGCUGACACGGAGGGCACCAAAGUGGUUUUUGAUGAUAUGAGAUGAUGAAACUGAGGACGAGAAAAGGCAAGGACACAGGGCCAGAGAAGCAGUGGAAGUGGCAGGAGCAGAUCAUGGCUUCUUCCUAACUACCUGAUUAUCUUUGCACCGAAGCACAUUAUAUCUGGCCAAAUCAACGUUUUGCAAAACAGAGCUGAUAGUGUCCCUGUAUGAAUAUAUAUGCACAUAUCUCUCAAUGUAACUCACUUAUAUAUUCAUGUGUCUUCAUUUCCCAUUCAUCUUUAUAAUCAAUCACCUAUGAUCGGUUCCCGUUAC